AGCUUCUAACAUUAAGUGAAAGCAAUGAUCUCUGCGAAUAACUUCAAAACAUACUGUUAUUACGCCGAAACUACAACUCCACCAAUCGAUAGAAGACAUAUUCGGCUCAAGUGAAACACAAGGAUUCUGAUAUUUAAAGUAGGGCCCGGAGAUGAUUAAGUAAACGCAUGGUUAAUCAGAUGUGUAUAAUUGACACAUACAUAGUUCCCUACUCAAUUAAUUCCAAGUUCAAAUCCAUCUUUGCUCCUCAAACGGAUAUAGAGAUGCCACAAUUAGUACCCGCAGCUUAUGAGCAGGUAACAAUCUCGGUUUCAAUUUGAAAUUAGCUGCUAAAGGAUAAUAAUAAUAAACAACAGCUGAUGUUCCCCAAAUUCAGAAUAGUGUAUCUACUGUUUUGGGGUCUAGGAACUGAAAUAUAAGUCAUCACCAGCCAUUGUCCUACAAAUUAAAUUCAGGCAUUACAUUAUUUUUAAGUAUCAACAUCAAUGCCCUAAAAACUUCAGGUAGUUCUAAUUGAAUAUUGGAACCCAUAUUGUGCUCUGCUAUGCAAGGAGUCUGUGUUGAGUUGUGUAAAUGUGUGUAUAUGUAACAGUUGGGGGGCUAAGAUGUAAAAGACCAUAUCUAUAUAGAAUACAGAGAAAGAGGAGGCUGGAUAAGGCGCUCCAGAUUUUUCCCCAUUCUAGUUCUUCCUUCUACCAUCUUCUAAUCCAGAUUUGUUGAAUAUUUCUCUGAUUUACAACAUGGCAUCGGAGCAAGACGAUCCUAGUGCGUCUCUCGCUCUGCCGUAACGCCGCAUCGUUGAGGUGUUGCCGACGUGUGGCGGCUGGAGCUCGUCUUCGCUCAGAUCCUUUGCGAUUUGGUGGAGCCAAGCAAGAUCGAGGGUUCGGCAGAGAAGAACGACGAAUACGGUGCGGUGCUGGUCUCACUUUAAGUUGCUGAGAUUCCGAGUUCUCUUGCGAGUUAGCGACCAUGGGAGACAAAGACAAGGACAAGGGUGCGGAUUCAAGUGUUGAGAAAUUAUGUGAAAGUAUGCAGCGAAUGCUUGCUCAGCUGAUGGAGCAAGCACAGGUUAAGUCUAGUAGCUCGACUGAAAUUCAGAAGUCUGUCCUCGAACCAAAUCCAGUAAAAUUAACUGGUCCGGGUGACUAUUUUACUUGGGCUCGCAAUGCAUCGUUAAUUCUGGAAGCGCAUGGUCUGCAUAAGUACCUAAAUGAAGAUGAGAAAAAUCCAUGAGAGGUAAUGCAGGAACAAUGGGAGCAGAAUCAGAAGCGAGUCAUGGUUUGGCUGUUGGGCUCAAUGGAAAAAACUGUUCGGGAACAAGUUGAAAGUUUUCAAACUGCUGCUGAAGUCUGGACAAGUAUUGAAAAACAAUUUUCUGGUAAAUCAAACAAAAUGCAGGUUAGCAGAAUACUACAUGAGAUGUGGCACUUUAGACAAGACCAGAAAUCAGUUACAGAGUAUGCAGGGGAAUUGUAGAAACUUUACAGGGAUCUAGAGUUUUUAGAUCAUUCAAGCCACAUGAUCCUAGAGAUUUGACUCUCCUCAGAGAAUGGUCCGAACCAUUGUUGGUGCAGGUUUUCCUGGAAGGUUUGAAUCAUGAGUUCAAACUUCACUCUCAGAUGAUAUGACUGGCCUACCUUGGAUGAAACUAUUGCCAGUACUCUUGAAGAAGAGACUCGUUUGGCUAAUCAGGAAGCAAUGCCACA
Molecule: long non-coding RNA, 1706 nt
Organism: Aegilops tauschii subsp. strangulata
Lineage: Eukaryota; Viridiplantae; Streptophyta; Magnoliopsida; Poales; Poaceae
Source: RefSeq, a predicted model, not a curated record